UCUAUUAGGGUUCGACUAAGCCAUGCAAGUCUGCUUUUCUUCGGAAAGGCGGCGAAAUGCUCAGUAACACGUCAAUAAUCUGACCUUAAGUCUGGAAUAACUUUGGGAAACUGAAGCUAAGACUGGAUAAGAAACAAGUAUUGGAAUAUCUUUUUUCUGAAAGGUAACGCUUAAGGAUGAGUUGGCGGCGGAUUAAGUUGUUGGCGGGGUAAAGGCCCACCAAGCUAAAGAUCCGUAGGAGCCAUGAGAGUGGUAGCUCCGAGAGGGACACUGAGAUACUGGUCCCAGCCCUACGGGGUGCAGCAGGCGCGAAACCUUUACAAUGCACGAAAGUGUGAUAAGGGAACCCUAAGUGCUUAUGUUUUACAUAGGCUUUUGCCAAGAGCAAAUAUCUUGGCGAAUAAGCGAUGGGCAAGACUGGUGCCAGCAGCCGCGGUAAUCCCAGCGUCGCAAGUGGCAAUCAUGAUUAUUGGGCCUAAAGCGUCCGUAGCCGGUUUAAUAAAUUCUUCGUGAAAUCGUUGUGCUUAACAUAACGCUGUGCGAAGGAGACUGUUAAACUUGGGACAGGAGAGGAGUUAGAGGUAUUCCGGGGGGAGCGGUAAAAUGUUAUAAUCCCUAGAAGACCACCUGUGGCGAAAGCGUCUAACUAGAACUGAUCCGACGGUGAGGGACGAAAGCUAGGGGAGCAAAGCGGAUUAGAUACCCGUGUAGUCCUAGCCAUAAACGCUGUGAGCAAGGUGUUGCACAUUCUUUGUGAAUGUGCAGUAUCGAAAUGAAGAUGUUAAGCUCACCGCCUGGGAAUUAUGGUCGCAAGACUGAAACUUAAAGGAAUUGGCGGGGGAGCACCACAAGGGGUGCGGCGUGCGGUUUAAUCUAAUUCAACGCAGAGAAUCUCACCAAAAGCGACGGCAGGAUGAAGGUCAGGUUAAAGGCCUUACUCGACGAGCCGAGAGGUAGUGCAUGGCCGUCGUCAGCUCGUGCUGUAAAGUGUCCUGUUAAGUCAGGUAACGAGCGAGACCUGUAUCUACAAUUGCUAACAACCUUUGGGAUUGAGCACAUUGUAGGGACUGCCCGGGAAACCGGGAGGAAGGUGCAGGCAACGAUAGGUCUGUAUGCUCCGAAUCUUCUGGGCUACACGCGCGCAACAAUGAUAAGGACAAUGGGACGCAACUCUGAAAAGAGAAGCUAAUCCUCUAAACCUUACCUUAGUUCAGAUUGAGGAUUGUAAUUCAUCCUCAUGACGCUGGAAUCCCUAGUAAUCGGACUUUAUUAUAGUCCGGUGAAUAUGUCCCUGCUCCUUGCACACACCGCCCGUCAAACCAUCCGAGCCGGGUUUUGAUGAGUUUUAUCUUUCAGAUAAGCCGAAUCUAAGCUCAGUGAGGCGGGUUAAGUCGUCACAAGGUA
This 1404-nucleotide ribosomal RNA is filed under the name metagenome. RNAcentral describes it as "bacterial SSU rRNA". It matches the Rfam family "Archaeal small subunit ribosomal RNA". The record is from RNAcentral.